GGGUGCGAUAAUUACGACACUAACACUUUGGAUCCCACUCGAACUCCGCAGUUAAGCAUGUUUUGACGAGAGUAGCACUAGGAUGGGUUACCUCCUAGGAAGUCCUCAUGUUGCACCCC
Molecule: ribosomal RNA, 119 nt
Filed under: Beta vulgaris subsp. vulgaris (sugar beet)
Lineage: Eukaryota; Viridiplantae; Streptophyta; Magnoliopsida; Caryophyllales; Amaranthaceae
Source: RNAcentral